This 497-nucleotide ribosomal RNA is filed under the name uncultured bacterium. Its description in RNAcentral is "partial 16S ribosomal RNA". It matches the Rfam family "Bacterial small subunit ribosomal RNA", at positions 28 to 507 of the family's 1533-position model. The record is from RNAcentral.
GAUGAACGCUGGCGGCGUGCCUAAUACAUGCAAGUCGAGCGAACAGACGAGGAGCUUGCUCCUCUGACGUUAGCGGCGGACGGGUGAGUAACACGUGGAUAACCUACCUAUAAGACUGGGAUAACUUCGGGAAACCGGAGCUAAUACCGGAUAAUAUAUUGAACCGCAUGGUUCAAUAGUGAAAGACGGUUUUGCUGUCACUUAUAGAUGGAUCCGCGCCGCAUUAGCUAGUUGGUAAGGUAACGGCUUACCAAGGCGACGAUGCGUAGCCGACCUGAGAGGGUGAUCGGCCACACUAGAACUGAGACACGGUCCAGACUCCUACGGGAGGCAGCAGUAGGGAAUCUGCCGCACUGGGCGAAAGCCUUACGGAGCAACGCCGCGUGAGUGAUGAAGGUCUUCGGAUCGUAAAACUCUGUUAUUAGGGAAGAACAAAUGUGUAAGUAACUCUGCACGUCUUGACGGUACCUAAUCAGAAAGCCACGGCUAACUACGUG